Long non-coding RNA from Cebus imitator (Panamanian white-faced capuchin), 452 nucleotides. RefSeq lists it as uncharacterized. Lineage: Eukaryota; Metazoa; Chordata; Mammalia; Primates; Cebidae. The record is from RefSeq and is a predicted model, not a curated record. The transcript has 3 exons.
CCUGGUCGGGGCAGCCUGGUCAGCAGAACCUCAUCAGUGGGGGCCUGUGACAUGGAUCUGCCCCUGUCAGUGGCCUGGUGGUUAAGGUAAAAAUGUCAGGUGAGAUGGACAGAAAACUGGCUCAAAGUGCUUAAUGGCUGGAAGAAAUCUAGGAGCACAAGAAGGUUACGUGGAGAGGGCAGGGCCACCACGACUGCUGUCUGCACAGCCAGGGAUACAGGCACCCAGUGCUGUGGCCUGACACCACCUGCCUCUCAGAUGGUGGGUGGUACACUGUCCUUACCUGGAGGACAGCAGGCCUGGGCACCAGCUUUUCUAUCUGUCCCUGCAAGCAUCACUCUCAUGCCAGGGCCUGGACCACCCCUAGCUCAGGGGUUAGGGGUAUCUCUUGGUGACCUAAAAUAAAAAAUAAGUCUAGAUCAGAGCUCCCAACCCGAGCACUCACCCACUCU